Molecule: long non-coding RNA, 475 nt
Filed under: Homo sapiens (human)
Lineage: Eukaryota; Metazoa; Chordata; Mammalia; Primates; Hominidae
Description: long independently transcribed non-coding RNA 2359, transcript variant 3 (LINC02359)
Source: RNAcentral
AGUCACAUGACCCCAACUUAACUGCAAGGGAUGCUGGGCAAUAUAGUCCAGUAGUGUGGCUAGCAGGAAAAUUAAAGGGGUUUGGUGAAUCCAUUGCUCCUGCCAUCACCCAGAUUAAAGACCUGCCCUCUCAUCCGCAGUCAGGGAUUGAGUGGGCAAGCACUGUGGGCUGCAGACACCAAGCUCCACCAUGAUUCCCCCUCCACUCUCAGAGGCUCCAUCCAGCUGGCAGGCUCACAGCACUGCAGCCCAGCAUCUGAAGUGCUGGUUUGGGUUGAGUUCUCUCAGUACCAAUACAAGGCGGAUCGAAAUCAGCAAAAUCAACACCAAAGUCACUACUACAAGAGGCAAAGCAUUAGGAUACAAGACACCGGACUUUCAAAUCAACAAUUGUUUCAAAAGACUCCUACUGGAUUCCUGCUAGUGAUGGGAGAAAAUUAUCAUUCUGUGAGUUGUCAAUAAAUGUUUAACCACA